Molecule: long non-coding RNA, 32324 nt
Filed under: Cinara cedri
Lineage: Eukaryota; Metazoa; Arthropoda; Insecta; Hemiptera; Aphididae
Source: RNAcentral
CAUGCUGUUACGAUUUAACUGUGCCACGGGUCAUAUACCGACGACAACAAUAAUUAUAACAAUGGGUAUUAUGACGUAUAUAUAUACCUGCAUGUUGAAAUCUGGUGGCCGUCGAAAAUCCGUCGACGUUAUUAUAUCCGGUAAAUAUUACGAUCACAAUAAUAAUAAUAAUAAUGAUAGGUACGUUUCCAGUCUUGUCGAGAUUGGUAUUAUUGCGAUAUUAUGCAUAUCGGUUAGUAUGCAUUGCGUAAACGAUUCGGCACCGGAUAUCAUAAUAAUAUUCGGCUGACCGUCAAUCGUCCCGGGGCAUUAACGAGUUAAUGGGCACUCGCGAGUAGAGGCCACGCCAGUUUUAAUCGCGUAAGGCCGGAUUUUCGUUGUUUAUCCUGACAAUUUCGUAGUCGAUAGAAAAAUAAAAACGAAAAUGAAAAACAAAAAUUAUAUUUGAACUGCCGUUCUCGCGGGAAAAUAUUAUACUAUACUACUAUAUACUUACAACAGCGGCUGCUCCCGUUUCCUAAUGUAAUUUUGUUUUUUUAUAAUUCUUGUUUUUGAUCCGAUGAAGACGUUUUAUUUUAUUAAUUUUUUUUAUUAGAGGAAAUUCCACAAAUUCGGAAGUCAAUCGAGGAAUGACGUUGAUUAUUUUUGUGUUGUAAGUGGGUUUAUUUAUCAUAAAAUUAAAUUUGAUUGCUACUUAUGGGAUAGGUAUAGGUGGGUCCGGGUCUCGUAUUUUCGAAAAGCCAGUAUACCUUCUGUCUUUAUUACAGUAUUUGGUUUUAAUAGGCACCUUUUUACCAAUGACUAUAGAACUUAGGGAUAUAAUGGGAAAAUUUUCAGCUAUCACCAAUAAUAAUUGAAUCAAUAAUAUCAUUUACGAGAUUGGAAUUGUGAGAAAUUCUAUGAUUUUGUUAUCUGAGUUGAUGUGGAAUGUUGUAAAAUAAUAGAUUAGACGCUCGAAAUGUAUGGAAUAUUGCGCUUGGACAUUAAGCUCUUCGGAACAAUGAUAAUCAUUUUUAUUAUUUUCCUUUUGAUUAUUAAAUUCAGAUUAGCAAACGAUUUAUUAAUAUGUUCAACUUUAGAAUAUCGCCAUUGUUGCAGAAUUUACGUCACUGAUUUUGAUAUUAGAUUACUAAUAUUUUUUAUAGUUUUAAGUCAAUGGGGGAGGGGAUAUAACCCCUAACUUCCUUUCCUCUGCGUAUGCCACUGUACACUGUACAUAAUAUGUAUUUAAUAAAACGCAUUUUUGUACUUGGUGUACAUUAUUCGUUUUCUACAGCUUCUCGAAUAUUUUGUAUGACACACUAAACUGCAGUCAUUAUAAUAUUAACGGUCGAAUCAAGUUCAGCAAAUUUUAUCAUUAAGAACUAAAAAUUCUUCUCUUCUACAAAUUAUUGUACUGCAUUAAAACUGCAUUAGUAACUUGCAUUAAAAGUCAUUGUAGUUAUUAACAUCUUUAAUUGCUAUAUGAGCUUCAAUAAUCUUCAGUGCAAUUUUUGAUUGUACUUUAUCUGAUUUAUUUUUAUUUUUAUUAUUUACGACUUGUAACAUACAGACUCGUGGACAGUGGUAACCAAAAUGUUUUUUUUCGUUUACGAUGUGUAAUAUUACUUUGGGCGAAAACCAAAUCAUUAUUUUUUGAGUUUGGGUAAAAAAAGGUCAUUUGGAUGAAAACAGGUCCUCCCUUUAAUACACAUAAAUUAUAAAUGACGACAGAAAAGUUAAUGCAUUAUAACAUUUAGCCAAAUUAAAUGAAUCACGGGGAAAAAUCCGGGGACAAAAGUCCGUUUUAAAAAAGGUUUGAUAAAAAGUCCAGAUUCAGAUUUUAUUGUCGGACAAAAGUCCGAAAAUACAAAAAAUUCUAUUAAAUUUUCAUUUAUAAUUAUACAAUUUAUUGUAUAAUAAAUAAUUUAAUUAUACGGGUUAUAUAGGUAUAUAAUAAUAUAUAAUUAAUAUUAAUUUUGAAAACUGUUGUACAUAUAUAAUAUAUAUUAUAUUAUACUUUUUUUUAACCCGUGUUUUUUUUCCUGUUUUCUUAUUCUUAUUAUUUCGUAUAGCUAACAAAAAUAUAACGGAACUCCACUUUAGUUAGGUAGGUAGGUACCUACCUAUAUAUAUAUAUCAUAUAUAUAUAUAUAUGAUACAUGCGAUUAUCAAUAUUAUUAGCACGAUCAUUAUUUAUGUUGACCAUUUUUAUUUAAAUUUAUGUUAAACGAUUUUUGAAAAAUUGUUUACUAUUAUAUAUUUAUUGUAUAUACUAUAUUGUAUAUAGUAUAUACUAUAUUGUAUAUAGUAUAUACCUAUAUAAUUAUAAAUAACAAUUUAAUAAAAUAUUUCAUAUUUUCCAAUGUUGUCCGACAAUAAAAACCGAAUCCGGACUUUUAGACCGAUUACCAAACUAAAUACCGAAGAUAUUUAAGUUACUGUUAACACGGGGGCUAAUAUUAAUUGUUGACAGUUAAUAUUACUAAGAGCUAACUAUGAGUAUUUCCCAUAAAUAUAAAUUAUCCGGAUCAAAAAAACUCCUCUAAAAUGAUUAGGCACAACGAAUACAGAAUUAGAUUUAGGCAAUCACAACUGCCUGUGAUUUACGAAAUCUAAGUAACACAAUUAUUUUAGUGAACGAAUUCAUGAUGAAAAAUAAUGCCAAAAUACAUUUUUUUAAUUAAACUUUUCCCCUCAACAAGAAUAUAAAAACUAAAAUUAUGAACAAAAAACUGCCACAAAAUACGAAAAUGAAUAAAUACAACACGACUGCUUAAAAGAAUUUUUGAAAAAAAUAUUUGUAUAGAUGCGUCAAAAAUAUUGUAAUGUUAUAUAAUGUUCACACAACAUAACAAUAAUAUAUACAAUUAUUUGCAUUUAUAACAAUGCGACUAAAAGAUUCAAAUGCGGCCAAGUAUUGUUAUUGAUAACGAUUUAAUUUAAUAAAACGUUUGUUGUUCGAGUGUGAUACAUAUUAUACUAUAUUCCUAUCACAAUCGAAAUAUUUUAAAAUGGUCAAACAUAGUAGUGAUUUACGACGUUUGCGUCAGCUUUUUGAGGACACCGCCGCGUCGCCAUCACCAUUCGGUAAUAAUCUUACGAUAUUUCUGCACUAAAUUUAAUUUCAUUAUUAGUCAAUUUUUUAUCGAAACCGACGCGAUGACCAACGGACCCCAUUCAACUCACGAACAAUAACGGUUUUUUUUCCAUUGUUCGGGAGGGAUCUGUCAUGUUACACGCGUUAUUACUACUUCCAAUUGAAAUAUUUCAACACGAGUCAAAUAAAAAUACGACAUUGGUCAGCCCUUUUACGACACCGCCGUCGAAAUCACAGUCCCACACGAAAUACGCCCUUAUAAUUAUUUCUGUACAAAAUUCAAAUCAAUACAACACUGGACCUGACCUUUUGCCUUUUGAAACGAUUAAAAUAUAAUGGUUUUUUUUUUCAUAUAAAUCUCGAGCGCCUCGACCGCUCGACAAAUCCCAAGACGAUCGCUCUUUAGAGAAUCCCGCACACAACAAUUACGCAUCGUCAACAAAAUAGCUGGUCGGGCCGUUAUUUAUUCAUUUUUUUGUGAUAUUAAAAUAUAUUCAAGAGCUCAUUGCAUAUCAGCUGACUUAUGGCAUACACCUUUAUCCAAAGAGAUAUUAAAAAUUUAUGGAGACCAUAUUAUACAUAAGGGGCCAUAAUAUAGCCGAACCGUAUUUUAACCGAAAAUAUUUCAACCGACCGUAAUAAGCCGAAUAUAAAAUUAACAGAAAAUAUUUCCGCCGACAGUAUUUUGGCCGAAAAUAAAACAAACGAACGUAUUUCAGCCGAAUUGACCGAAACUAUUAAUUAUUAACUUGUAAAUUUCUUGUCAUUGUUUUUAUCAGAAAAUAUUGAAUUAGAAAGCUUGGAAUUUUAAAUGAUAUUUCGAACAAAAGUUGAAAAAUUUGAAAGAAUAUACAAAUUUUUGAGUUAUAAUUCCGACACGAUUUUGAACAAAUAAAAAAAAAAAUUAAACGACAUUUUGAAAAUUGUCUAUGAUAAAAAUAUAUAUUAUUUAAUUAAUUAAUUUUAAAUUAUUAUUAUUUUUAAUUUCAACCAUUUGUAAGCAUUUAAAUUAUUCAGGUGUGGAUAAACAUCCACAUGUUGGAUUUAAUAUCAAAACCAGUGGCGCUGAAGCAGUAUUAAAAUAGUCGGGCAAACUUUCCAAAAUAGGUAAUACAAACCACCAACCACCUAAACAAUAUUUUCAGGAACUCAUGGGUGACUUUGCUACCCAUACUCUCUCCCUCGCCCUGCAUUGAUUUUCUUCUAUUUACAACAACACCCAUUUUUUAUAUAUUUUUCUUACAAUUUAUUUGUACAAUUUCAAUACGUUAUACUAUACAAAUUAACAAAAUACAUAAGUCGUACUAUGGUAAUAUAAUAUAAGUUAAUAAUAAUUUAUAAUAUUAUUUAACAAAUUAAUAUAAUUAAUAGCACAAUAAUAAAAUAUACCUAGUACAGUAAAAAUAAAAUGAUUAAAACAAAUCCAAAAAAGACGGAUAUACUUUGCAUGUGGGUGGGUCACUGUUGUAGGUAAGAAGUUGAGAAGGUAAUAGAGGGGAAAUUUAAUGUAUAUUUGUACGCAAUGAUUAACCAUUGCUAACGAAAAACGAUUCUGAGCAGAGUUUGGUCAAUAGUGUUACUUUUUUAACAAUAUAUUUGUCACAUUAUGAUAAAAUACUAACAUAUUAUGCAUUAUAUUAUACUUGUUUAAUAUUGUGUUUAUUUUCCAUUUUUUCCCAUUUAUUAGGAAAACUUUUUCAAAAUUUUGGGAAAAUCAAUAAAUUACUUCCUAAAGUACCACUCCAGUCAGAUUUCUUUUAGGAAAAAAUGCUAUUAAUAUAAUACUUACGGAAUACUAAUGUAUACCUACUAUGUAAAAAGUUAAAAUAGGUACUUAUAUAAUUAUCUACUUUUUUAAUUAUUUUCUAAUCUUGAACGUUUAUUUUUGAACAAUUUCCUUAGUUUUUAUAAUUUAUACAGUUUAUUCAUUUUUCACGGUCGUAAUUUAUGUUAUAGCUCUAAUGUGAGAAUAUCCUAAUGAGUAAUGACUUAGUACCACGAUAUUGAUGACAUUUUAUCUGCAUCGUGAUUGGUACUUACUGUCAUUGAUUAUAAAUCAAUAGGUAAUCAAUAGUAAUACCUAGGAUAAUUAUUGUACAAAUUAAAUUUGCGUGGGUUAUAUUUGACUAAUUACUACAGAAUUUUAAUUAUGUAUAAUUUGAUAAAAUAUAUGAUCGUCUAAACCAUUUUUCAAACAAAUUUUCAAAUUUUGCUGUGAAUAAAUCUUUAAAUAACUUGAUAGUCAUUAAUCUUUCCGCCAACGACCAUACCACGUUGAAUACACCAGUUCUCGUCCGAUCACUGAAGUUAAGCAACGUCGGGCGUAGUUAGUACUUGGAUGGGUGACCGCUUGGGAACACUACGUGCCGUUGGCAUUUUUUUGCCUAUUUUUUUCUCUAUUAAUUCUUUCCAUUUUUUCUCCGACAAAAGUGAAAACCACAUAGUAUCUACCAAAUAAAAAUUACGUAAAACUCAUAAGGUAUUUGUCAUAAGUCAUCUUUCAAAAUUUCAAGUUUUUAAGAAUAUUUUUAACGGAAAAACAACAAAAGAACAAAAUUGAAAAUUAUAAAUAUUUAAAUAAAAGUAUUAUUUUCGUAAAUUUUCCCGUUCUUUUUACGUUUUUUUCCUAAUAAUUAAAAAAAACUACAGAGAAAAUCUAACCUACUCAUCAACAAAAUUAAAAAUGUAACAAAAAAAAAGAUCUCUUGUCAUUUUUCUAUUAGAGUCAAUAUUUCUUGACUUAACUUAGACUUGGCCAUACCAAAAUCCAUAACACAUAAUAACCUAUAUAAUAAAAAACAAUUAGAUAAUUUACAAAACAUAUUAUUAUAACCGUAAGAAAUUGACGCAGCACAAAAGCAAUAUAAUCAAAUAAACGAUUGGAUUCAACAUUGUGGAUCAAGGACUCAUAGAAUUAGAGCCAUAUAGACGAAGGCGUCAUAGAACGUCUGGUUGAAGAGAAACUCACUAAAAUGUGGGACUGGUUCGUAGGUUUUGGAUAUCAGUCCUACUUGCCACUUGUCAUAUUUCGCGUUCGGAAAUUAUUAACUAUGUACGUCUAAAUUCAAUAUUAAAUAUGUCCAUACUAUAUCAAACUUUUGGAUAAAGCUUUAUCCAAAGAUCUAAGAUCUAAGGUUUUAGCUGGUAUAUUUUUUGGUUUAACGCAAUGUGUUAUGCACAAAGCGCACAAUAAAAAACAAAUAUAUGAAAUUCAAACCGAAAUAAAAUUUACCAACCACAGUCCGAAAUUCAUCAUUUGAUGAUACCAAUCCAAAUAUACCAAUCCGAACUUCGUAAAAUAUACCCAUCAUUAUUAAAUUUAUAUCGUCCUUCGAAUAAUAUGUAUAACAACGAAUAAAAAAGCAACAAUGUUACCAUGUAUACCAAUGGUAUACACAGAAAUCGAACACAACAAAAACAUUUUUUAGUAACAAUACGAAACAUCAACCAAUUUACCGAUCAUACACACACAGAAGCGUACAAUAUGGCGAAUUCCGUCAAUAAAACACAUUUUAUGCACGUAGUGUUAUUUAUCGAACUUUACCUACCCGUACCCGAUUGACUAUUAUUAAAAACCGACCCAUACUAUCGUAACAUUCCGUACUUACACCUAUACUGACGUAAACCUAUAUAAACACGGCGUGCCUGCAUAUUUUAUAUACACAAAUAAGUGCUAAGGUAUAUAUAGGUAUAUACCUAAAUUCACGGAAAUAAAUCCCUCGAGCAUUUGUCACUAACACUCCUAUAGUUUGAAGCGAUAGCUAUCGUACAAGUCGUUUUAUCAAACAAAAUUGUCACAAAUACCUCAUAGAAAUCUGUGAAUUUAUUGUCUGAAUUUUCCAAUAACUGCAUGAAAAACGCGUAACGUCAGUAUAACAGAACAAUUUACGAACUAAAAAUUCGACCCGCGCAAACAAUAAAAAUUAAAUUUCGCUACAAUACAUCUCUACAAUCCAUGUUACAAAUCUCGUAAUUCAUUGUGUAUGUCAAUUUGAUAUACAGCUUUUUGACAUAGAAUUUGAACAAUCUGUAAUUUAAAUUUCAUUAUUGGUGUAAGCAUAUUGACUAAAUUGUUUAUUUUUGUUAAUAUAAAUUAUUGAAGCUAUUUUGGAGACCUGCAUUUUUGAAAAUUGUUGGUAUUUACAGAUUUAAUAGAGUUAACCUUUAUAAUGUCGGCGCGUGAUCCCGUGGCCUGUGUUGACGCAUAAUGAAAUCCGCGCGGUCACUGCCAUUCAUACAGAUAAUGCGUCGUUUUAAUACUAUAUUAAUAAUAAUACGAACACCAAUACAACAUAAACGCGUACUUAGAUAUGUAGGUAUUGUAGAUAUACGAAUCGACAAUACACACACAAACACUCACACAGAUAUACAAAUAUAUGUAGGUACAUUGUACAUACAUUACAUACCCUCGUGUUUAAAAACAUACCUACCCUUUUACUUUCAUUCGUUUUUCCUUUCAUUCUACUACCUUAUCCUGCUACUACCCCUUCCUUUAUUUUCUCUUUUUUGUUACAACAUUGUACAACAAAAAAUUAUCCAUUUAUUAUAAACCAUCAAACAAUACUAACAAGAAAAACAGUGUGUCGAAUGCAUACAAUCAUUUGUUUUGCAAACUUUUUCUCUAUUUAUGUAAAACCGUGCAGACUCGUUAUCAAAAAAUUCCGAAUGCAGUUUAAAAUACAAUUUUUAAUUUUUUUCUUUCUUGUAUGCCAAUCAUGGAAACGUGAUCACUUUAAAAACUUAAAUGCAAUUAAUUGUAAUACAGGGUCCGACAAAAGAACCUCCUGUAUUUCAAAAGGCAGUUACAAAUAAACAAACAUAGGUAGGUACAAAAAAAAUGAUUCCAUUUUUGAAUUACAAAUACUAUUUUACAUUAUAUAAAAUAAUUACUUCGUUUUAAACAUUAUGCCUGUUAAAUGGCGUCUUUCAUUAUUGAUACAUUGACGAAGCUUUUCCCGAAAGUUGUCCCUAUUUGUUCGUAUCAUUUCCGGUGUAAUGGCAUCCACUGGCCUGGGUGAAUGCCUUCUUAAGUGUUUGCAGGAUUGUACGACUAUGACUGUAAACUAGCGCCUUUAAAUAUUCCCAGAGAAAAUAAUUACAAGGUGAUAAAUCGGGUGACUUCGGACCCAGGUGAUGUCUCUUAGCAAAGACAGACGUCCAGCAAACAACUCUCUCAAAAUUGCUAGUGAAUGCCAUGAAGUGUAAUACCGUCUUGUUGGAACCAGACUUCUCGCUCUUCGUGGCAGUGGCGUAGCGAAUUCAAAUAUUUUCAAAGGCGAAAUAUAUUUUUCGAUACCCAUCAACCCACCUAUCCAUAGGUACAUGACCCACACAUCGAUUAUUAUUUUUGAACAUUGAACACUGGGUUUUUAUCUUUUUCAAAAAAUGCCCUAUAAAAAAGCAUUUAUGGGAGUGGAAGAUUGCCUCUUGCAUUUAAUUUUAAACCAUAGAGAUAAUUAUAAGAUAAAUUCAAAUAACACGAAAUGUGACAUUAUUUUUUAAAAGAUUACUGUUUCUUUAAUAGGGUUCAGUUGUACAAUAAUUAAAAUAUCAAUUACCAUAAAUUCUGCAUUAAGAGAUCUGAAGACUGCGAACAUGUCAAUUGCUUUAUUACGAUAAAUUUCAACAUUUUUUUCAGAGCUAAUAUAAGUAGACUUUCGGUAAAUAGGGUGGUUCCUAUAGUUCACGGCGCGAAACGGAACAACAAAAGAAGAGUUGGACCUAGUGGGAUUUGUUGGGACCUUAAAAUUAAUUUGAGAAAAGAGAGCUGAAGCAUCCACACGUCCGUCAAUGACGGAUGCUGCUUAUGCAAAAACAUCAAAUUAGCUUCCACUCUUUUAUUUGAUAGAGAUAUAAGAUAGUGCUUAUUGAUUACUGGACCAUAAUUGUGUGGAGGGUGGGGAAUUUUUUAAAUGAAAGCUACAGAAGAGCUAAAACAUCAAUAUAAUAUAUAAUAAUAUUAUUACAUUGGUAUACAAAUAUACGGUUUAUCUACAUAAAUUGUAUUUUUCCAUACAUUUUUUAUUUUGUUUAAUUUAUCUAUAAUAAAUCAACAACAUAAGAAUAAUCUAUAAAAAUCGUUCGUUAAAUAAAACGAUAUUUUUCGUAAUUAUAUAGCACUCGCCGUUUAUAAUCUAUCGUUCACCCCUUAAAAAAAAGGUGUGACCGCUGUUAUAGCGUAUUCGGCGCCACUAAUAAAAUAUAUUAUAUUACACAAUAAUGAUGUUGUCGAACAUUAUUGUUUUUAUUAUUUCGCUUCCUGCUACGAUGACAUCGUUACAACAUUAUUUUAAUGGUUGUAUUACUUUUCGCUACGAUAAAAAAAAAGCUCUUCCCCAUGAACAGCUGAGUUCUUCAUUACUAGAAAGUCUAAUUUGAUUUUUUGUGUGUAUUUAAAAAUUAUUCUUCGAUUAAAACAGUAGCCCGCGCUAACAAAUAUCGUCUCACUACGAUUUGUAACAGUAUAGGUACCCUCGGCGAAUCUCAAUACAGAUCUUACAGAUUUCAAGCGAAGCGAGGAAUACAUUAUUCUUUUAUCCCAGAGAAGAAGAGUUAAUUUUCGGAAUUUUGUUUUACGAUUUUUCUUAAAUCACUGUGAAUUUGUGAUGUACUUUUCCUUUGGUAAAAAAGGCCUAAGCCAUGUUAUUAUAUGAUUUAAGGCAUUUUGUAAUUUAGAAAUUUAGCUAUUAUGUUGUUUUUUAUAUUACUAAUAUUUUUGAAAUUGAAUUCGAAUUGUUAUUUUUCUUGUCUGUAAACAACUUUGUUUUUAUCCGAAAUCUUGCUUCAAUUAUUAACAUUAAUGCCCGUAUGCAUAGUCCCGAUCUUAUGUGUUACAUUGCUUAUCGUUGCUUAUGCUGCAUCGUUGCUUAAAUGACCCAUAGCUGAUUGGCCCAUAACCUAUUUAUUUAUUUUUUAAACGGACCUUCCAUAUUUCCAAGAUAUCAUCUAGGUAUAUUGUCAUCUAUAUAAAUUUCAAUUUUCAAAGUUAAUUUUUUGUAGUUUUCUCAAUAAUUGAGAAAAACCGAGAAAACGUCAGAAAAACGAGACUAUUUACGCAAUAACGGUUUCGUUAGUUAGGAUUUUUUUAUUGUUGUAAUUUUGUGAAGAAUAAUCGUAGUGAUUUUUUCCAGCGUUUUUCUAGUUAUUAAUAUAACUAAUUCAAAAUAUAAAAACAUGUGUUAGUAAUGCGAGUUAUGCAAUAUGCGCGUAAAAAUGGUUGGUACGUUUUACACGAACAAUUAAUAGUUGCGGUUAUUAUUAUAUUAUUCCGCGGUCACAAAAUAUUAAUAUGCGAUCGCGUUCAGUUCAAACCGAUCGAAUACCGGCUGCGUCUAGGGCACACCUUUGGCGACGUUUCGCGCGUUCGCUGCGGAUAUUUCGAGAAUCCGACCAGGACCGCGCACUAUAUAAUUUUGUACGCGGAUAAAUAUUUUGGCGGCAUUUUACGACGUGUGGGUUUUUUGCGGUCACGACGACGCGGUUAAACGUAAUGAAUAUGCCCUCGUUUUAGUACGGCCGAAACGGCGGCGGAGAUUUAUAACGAGAUUGUGCCGUUACGUUCUCAAGAAUGACACCCCGAGUAGGUAGGUAUAUAAUAUACACAUCCGCGGGUUUUAUGCGUGCGCGAACCCUCCGGAACCUCGAAGACACUAUAUAUACACACACUUAGGUACCCCGGUGAAAUUUAUUAUGUUUUUCCGCGCGAAAACGGUCGGCGGCGCCUGGAAGGUCCGCGCAGCCGUUGGGUCGUCCCGGUGAAUUAUUAUUAUUAUUAUUGCGUUGCGGGACGUCGGUGGCGGCGGCGGCGGCGUCGUGGCGGUGAAGACGACAGGCGUUUUCGGCAUUUCACGUAUUUAUUGCGGGAUCCGACGGGAAAAACUCGUACUCGCGCUAUCAUAAUAUAUACGUUUUCUUGUCUCCUGCACAGUGGAGUGCGGUCCAGGAGGGAAACGUCGAGUUUGGAAAUUGUGUGUAAUAGAAAAAAAAAAAAGGAUCAAUUUUAGAUUCUCGGCGGAGCGAGGAACCUAUUGGUUUUACGACGACAUGUUUAUUAAUUUUCUUUUUCCGUGAACAACUUUUAUACCAGAUAUUUUGAUCCGAUUUUCAAAGCUGCGUGUCGCUGUCGUCCCCGGGUCAGAAGUACUACUCGAAACCGGUACAAAAAUUUGUUAUGUAAUUUGUACAAAUUUGUAACAUUAACCCAGAAAUGUUUACAACCCACCUAAUAGUUGAAAAACGUGUUUUUUGUCACGAACACCAGCGACACGUGUCGCCAGCGUCCGUAUUUCUUACGUUUUUGUCGUAGAGAUUCGAAACCGGUACCAAAAUUUGUUAUAUGAUUUGUACAAAUUUGUAACUGCAACCCUGAAAUUUGAACAACUCUCUCCUCUCAAGUGUGAUCAAAUCAAGUUUUGGUUUGACUAGACGCGAUAAAUUUGAUGUUAUGUACGUCUAUAAGUAUCUAAUAUAAUAUAGCUUAUGUGUUCUCAAUUCUGUGUAUCAGUGUUGAAAAAAAAAAAUUUUUUUUUUUAUUAUUAAUAUGAUAUCAUGGAUUAUAAAAGUAAUUAUUUCUUUUCUAUUAAGUAUCUAUUUAUUAAUUAUUAUUUAUUUUCCGCAUUUCUUAGUUUAUUUCGUAGAGACUCGAAACCGGUACCAAAAGAAGAGCGUUUGUGAAGUGCAUUUGUUCUUUGGAAAAUUUCUCAAUAGUUUUUAAGACAUUUAAAUCCGGACUCUAGUAAUUAUUAUAAGUUUAUUUACUGUUCACAUAUUAAUCUCGUAAAAUAAAAUAUCGUCUUGGCGAUGCCGCUCACCAGUACUUUUUAUUGUAUUUCCUUUUAUAUUCUGAGUGGAAUGCAGAAUUUAAUGGUUUUAUAAUGAUGUUUAUUUUUUUGCUUACAACUUUUCUACCAGAAAUUUUGUUCCGAUUUUCAAGUAUAGUACUUUUUCUGAAAAUAAAUCUGAUUGUACUGAUGGUACUUUAUAAAGGUCAUUUUUUAAUUUUCUCAGGGGUUUUCAUAAUAAACGGGAAAAUUUACGUAAUGUAUUAUUUUCAAAUCGUAAAUAUGACGGUCUUUUAAAACAAUGUAACCGAAUCUCUCUCAGAAUCGUUUUUCGUCAACAAUGAUUAAUCGUUGUGUAUACAGAUAUACAUUAAAGGCUGCAGUGUAGAACACCGUUAAAUAUGGGGGAGGGGGGGUUGGCGCAACAAAAUCAAUUUUUUUCAAACUUGUAUCUCUACAAAUCAGUCACCAGAAUAGCCAGAUCUUUUUUGUGGAGUAUUUUUGAGGAUUCGAUGGCUGAUUGGAUUAAAAAAAAAACAAGACAUCACCAAAUCAAUCAAUUAUCAGGCCCUGUAACUAAGAAAUAAUGGCUUGUUUUAUAUACAAUUUUAAAAUUUAUCGUAUUCGGUAAAAUUUCACGGCAUUCGUCGUCGGAACCGAACGGAAUUUUAAACUCGUUAGAACGGUUAUAUUCGUGCGUGUUUCGACGUCUAUAAUAUUAUACGCACGUAAACCAAACGCAAGUAAUUGCCGAAUACUAUGUAUUUACUGCGAAUAUUUUUUUAUUUAUUUAAAUUUUUUAUUUUCGAUUCAAAUACAUUUUAUCACGGUGUUUUUUUUUUGGUAUACGAUAUAAAAUACAAAAGCAGAUGAACGAAUUCGCGGCCUGACAACAAACGAUAAUAAUAUUUACGCGGAUAUUUUUACACCGGAUGUAUUCGCAUACCGUUUGGUCGAUCGCGAACCGCACGAAUUCUUCUGGGAUACCGAAAACGAGGUUAUAUAGGUACAGGUAGAUAGGUAUAUAAAGCACAAAAACGGACGGACAUUAUUACGAUUUAUACGUUCCGUUCGCCGUCGUAAUAUCAUGGUAUAAAACUAAAAAAAAUAAAACGAUAACCGCUGUUUAUUCCGUAUUCGACAGUGAUGCCUGAGUGUUUUUUUUUUUUUAUUUCGUUUUCUUAAAACCGUUCAUGCAGUGCCUCUAUAAUAUAUAUUAUAUAUACAUCCUCGUAUAUACAUGCGUAUAAAACGGAAACGAACCGGGAAAUUCAAUUACCUUCCCGUCGUCGUCGGGAAACAGGUGCGGACGUAUUUUCUCACCGUGGCGUGCGCACAUCAUAUAUUAUAUAGGUACCCUACCUAUACAUACGUAAUCCGGUAAAGAAAUUUAUUUGUUUCCUCGGCGAAAACUACGAGCCAAUUUACGGGUUAACAUAUGUAAAAAGGCUUUCGUUACCCAUAUAUAAUGUACACUCGUAUAUAUUGUUACUGUGCUGCGAAUUCCCAAGAUCGUGUUCACCGAAUACAUGUUAUUGCGUAAAACGGGCGCGAUACUGUAUGCGUUGAUUCGAUAAUGACGUCGCUGCAGGUCCUCUCUACAAAAGUCUCUGAAAAAUCCCGUCGCCCGGAGAUUUCAUCGGGAGUUAUGCUGUUUUAAUUCGCACCGAAAUAACCAUAGUAUACGUCAUGGGCGCUCUCACGAGAGGUGUGAUGGGGGGAUGGGUCCCCGUAUGGACUUUUUUUUUUUAGGUAAUAUGGAGUUUCCUGUUUUACUGAUAUUAAAUGACAAUAAUCAAAUAAUUAAAUAUAAUCCAUACAAUUUUUUUUGACUCGUUAUCAUUUUCCACGAUAUUCGUACAUAGAUUACAGACCACGCAUGAUUACAGACUGACAUAUUGUUGACACUAUCUGUGAUUAAAGAUUAAUAUAAUUUUGUAAAUUCAACAUUUUAAUCAAACAUAUAAUGUGUUAUAAUUUAAUGUAAGUUGUUUUUAUAUAAGAAAGAUUACUUUUUAAUCAAUUUUCAUACCAACCCCCCAAUAAAAAUAUCCUGAAAACAUCUCUUAUGGAAUAAUUAUAUCGUGUAACUUGCAAAGCGGUCAAACAUAGCGUUUGUAAUUUGCAUCGAAACCGCUAUCUGUAUUACACAUGAUGAUUAUCAUUGAGUAUUCAGUUAUUUCGACGGUAUCAAUAAUGCGUGUGUAUUAUUUCCGAUUUAUCCAUCAUAUACUCGGAAUCAAUGUGACCUCGAUUUGAAUGUUUUAAAUAUAAUUGUAUACAUAUAGUAUUUAAUUUUUUAAUUUUUGAGAAAUUUAAUUAACGCGUUAAUUGAAUGUUCACGAAUUCGCUCAUUCCCUGUUAAACAAAUACUACAAUUUUUUAAGCGCGCCUGUUAAAUGUGCAAAUCAAAAAUUGUCUAAAAAUUAAAAACAAAAUAAAUGUCUUAUUCGCUUGUAGAAAUGCGCGAUACGGAAUUUUAACAAAAUGAGCGCCGUACAGCGAGCUUAUUAUAAGUGCCGUUGAAAAACGGUUAUCUUAUAAUUUUUAUACAAUAUACGAGCGCCGCACAUUUUUGAAAACGUUUAACAACGAUGCCGGCCGUGAAAUAUUGAAAAAUUCGUAACGUAUAAAGAAGCAAGUAAAUUAUUAUUCGAUGUGAAAAAAACGAAAAACGAACACAAUAGGUAGGCGCAUAUUAUUAUACAAGUACGAGCGAAUUACACCGAACACAAUAUUAGUUAUAUUGCUCGUUCUUAUAUUAUUAUACCGUAACGAGGCUGCGCUUAUUUACGUUUAAAGUCAAAGAGGAAUAAUUUAUUAUAAUCUCAACGUCGCUGCCGGUCGCUGUGUGAAGAAAACAUAAACGCGCAGUUAAAACCGUGGAAAACAAUUAUAUAUAUAUGUAUAUAUAUAUAUAUAUAUAGGAUAUACAAUUAUAAAUGGAUAAGUAUACUGCAGAAAAAGCGUAAAAAACUGGCAUCAUUCACGACUCUGUUAUAAUAAUAAUAAUAACAACACGAAAUAGCGUCAUUUUUGCAAUAGCGAAAAAACUGUUUUUUUUUUUUCUAAAUUUUUUUCCGGUAAAGUAAACAUCAGCUCGUUCGCCCCCGGGCCGUCGGGCUUUCCGUACGAUAUUAUAAUGUAUAUUGUCGUUUUGUCCUCGCCAAAAUUGGACCGUUUCCCGAGCGUCCCGUUAAAUUUACAAUUCAUUAAAUUUGAAUUGUUAUAAAAGCCCUCUAUUGUGUGAAAUAUAUAUUAUUAUAAAACGCGAUAUAAACUUCAAUAAUUGAAUGGCGCGUUGUGUGAUUGUUUAUAUAAUAACGUUUUAUAUAAUAAAAUUAUAUGUACACAUAUAUAUAUAUAUAUAUAUUUAUGUUUGUUUUUGCGAAACGAUACCGCGCGUUUGUGCGAAUUUCAUUCGGUAAUUGAAACUAAAAAAAACACAGUUAUAUCGGCGGCCCUACCAACGUAACACCGCGGCAGUCGAUGUAUUGUGUUGGCGGCGAUAGAUUUAUAAAAUUGUCGGCGCACGGUUCUACAUUUUUUUUGUUUACAAUUUGCCAGUCUCUCGGUUGGUAGUGGCGGUUUUUAUUGGGAGUGUGUGAGGGGGGGGGUGAUGGGAGCGAUCACACGGCAAACCAUUGCUAACGAAAAUUCGAUUCUGCAGAGAGGAGUUCAGUUAAUUGUGAUGCUUUGUCAACAAUAUUUAUGUCCUAUUAUGGUAAAAUAAUUAAAUAAGCAAUAUAUAUUUUCUUUAAAAACAUUUGUUUAAUAUUGUACCGAUUUUCCCACGUUUUUCCUGGUUUUUCACAUUUUCUGGGAAAACUGCUGGGAAAAUCGAAAAAUUACCUCCCUAAAAUACCUCCCCAGUUAGAUUUUCUUUUAGAAAAAGUGAUAUUGUAAAUCGGAGCAAAAUGCUGGUAAAAAAGUUUCUUUCACAGAAAAAAAAAUCGUAAUAUUUUACUAAUAUAUUUCAUACAUUUUCCAGUUUUUUUUUGUUUUUCACAUUCGUUAAAAAAACAUCAGAAAAAAUUGAAAAAUGACCUCCUUAGAGUACCUCCCUCCCUCCCAACAAAAUUUCUUUUCAGAAAAGUCGCUACAUCGUAUACAUUGGAGCAAGAUCUCUGGUAGAAAAGUUGUUCACAGAUAAAACAGUUGUAAAUCCAUAAGAUUCUUUGCUCAACUCAGAAUAUAAAAUGAGUUAUGCGUAACUUAUUAUAGCACCAUAAACAAAUGUUAUCCUUUAUUUGAUAUAUGUUAUUGUGGUAUGGGGUCUAACAAAAUUAAAAUCGCCUCCCCCGGUAAAGGGGACCGUUCGCGCAUUUCUUUCUUUGCGGUCGUUCAAUCCUUUCAUCACGCUGGAUCGAUCCUCGGAGCGACCCGGUUUUGACCUCAGACGUCAGUACGGGAAUAUAAGGUGUUGUACAGGGUUAGUUGAGAUCGCCGGGUCGGAUCACCGACCGUACGCCCUAGUAUUUGUCCCAAGCGCUGAUUUUACUGAGUGGGUCAUGCAGUGGGUUCAGGUGCACAAACGCUAAACACAUAACACGUUCGGGCAUCUCACAGAUGUAUAAAAAUAUACAGCCCACUGGGAAGUUCAAAAUUUAUAACUUAGUAUAUUUCGAAUCGAUAAAGAAGUUGCAAAAUAUCAAUCUCUAAUUGGACUGGGUAGCAGUAUAGUAUUAUUUAUCCGGAACCGCUUUUCGUUUGUAAAUCUUUGUCGUCGCAUACAGUAUACGUGCAUAAACUAAAUUACACUGUAUAAUAUUAAAUAUCUUCCCGAUUACCCAUCUACGCAACAGCUAGUGGCCUACCCGUGAGCUGUAUCGAUUUUUUUAAGUUUUUAUGUACCGGAUAAUCAAAUCUGGGCAAUAACUUGUGUAGUUAAAUUCAUCAAUAAUAAUUUUUCAAAAUCAUAGAAUAAUUUUAAAAAAUAUUUAAAUAACAACAGUGAUAUUAUCAAUAAAAUUAGUAUUAUAUAUUGAGCAAAAACUUUUAUUAUGUCCAUAAAAUUGUUUGCUAAAAUCGUCUGACUUUUAUAAAGUCUUAAUUAAGAAACCAAACUUUUAUAUAAAAAAAAAAAACACAAAACUUGUUUAGUGCAAAGUUGUUUUUAUUGGUCGAUAUCACAAAUGCGUAUAAAAAAAAGUUAUUAUUGGUUUAAAAUAGGAUAAUUUCAUGUUUUUCAAACUAGGAACUUUUUUUGUAGUGUAAAUAGUUUUUGAGUGUAAAUAUCGAAACAAAUAAAAACAAUAGCUUAGUGCAGGCAGGUACAGUAAGAGAAUAUUGAAAACACUUUUCGAGGUUUUUUUUUCCCAUAAGCAUUUUAUAGUUCAUUUCACUACAAAUUUAAAUAUAUUUUUCGAAUCAAUAAAUUUUCGAUUUUUUUUUCAAAAAUUUAUCGCUGUGAGUUUCAAGUUUACGACUACCUGAAUUGCGUGUUUAAAUUUUUACCGAAACGAUCGCUUGAAAAAAAAAAAAAUAAAAAAAAAAUCAUACGUUUUGUCACCGUAACGCAGAAAUAUUAUAUUCGGCAAUAUUUCGAAAUGCCGCAGUAAUAAUAUUUCUCAAAGGCAUAAAAUAAUAUAUUAUUGUUAUUUUUUUCACGCCGUUGAAAGUAAAAAUCAAUAUAAUACGUAAAAAAAUAUAAAGCGCGUAUCGAAAUAACAGCCGCGUGUUGUAUUCUCGUCCGAGAAAAGGUUGUUUGCGUUUUCUGGGUCGUAUACUGUAUAGUACAAACAACUAAAACCCGUACACCUACUUAAACAAUAUUGUUACUAUACGGUCGUAAAAAUAUGAAAAAAAAAAAAAAAUAAAUAAUAAUAAUAAAAACACUCUGAAAUUAAUACACCUGCAAAAAAUAAUCGGUCGAGAUCGUGCGGGUUAAUUGCAGUUUCUUAUAAAAAAAAUUUAUCGAUCGGUUAUGUAAUUUUUAUGAGCGAACUUUUUUACCGUUAUACACUAUUAUUACAUUAAAUAGAGCGGCUUAACACACGUUUUAUAGUUUUUUUUUUUUUUACAUCGAUUUUGUCCUUAAAUGUCAAUAUACAGGCACCUAUAGCUAGGUAUAGUGCAAUAUGUUCGGCUUUAAAGAAUAGAACACGUGAACUAGUACCCUUUUGAUAUUUACCCGUUCCGCCUGCCAGCGGAUAUACUAUUACAAAUUAUAUUAUCUAGAUACUGCCUGUAUGCCAUUAAGUACGUCAUUUUCUACGUAUCGUUAUGUAUAUAUAAAAAAAAUAUUUGUUUGAAAAUAUACGAAUUUCAUAUCGUACCUCUAAUAUAUUUAUGAAAGUUAGUGUUAAGAUGACGUUAUACCUGCGCGUGCUUUCUCCGUCUUGAAAAACGUACGACUUGGCGAAUUUGGGUUCGGUAGUGACCGAUGUGUGUCGUUAGUUUUAAUAUUGAAGCGAAAUUGACCUAUCCAUCGAACUUAAAGCCGAGAAAAUUAUCUAUGUAUAUUUCUGGUGCUAUUUUAGAUUCUGAGUGUAGCGAAGAAUGUAUUAGUUUUACAAAGAUGUUAAUUUUUUUUAUUUUUGUAUGCUGUGUACAAAAAUUUUGCUAGAAAUCUUGCUUUCUGAAAGGAAUUUUCCUGAAGUGGUCCUGAAUAAGUCCUUUAAAUAUUUAAGCGAAAUGACCUGUAAUCAGAAUUAAAGAUAAGACUAUGUGCAACUAUUCUGAUUUUUCUCUCUUGAUAUUUUGAUUUUCAAGAGUAUGAUGCAAAAAUAUAUCCCAGAUUAAAAGCGUUUAUAUAAUCGAUAAUAUUACGUGUAGGUGUAUUCAUAAAUUGUGUAAAGAUUCGAAACGAACACGGUGUCGGGCUUAUUACGGUGUAAUCGGUAACACAAAAAAGUAUUUCGCACCGACGCCGAGCUAAUCCCGAAAUUAAUCCGUAAUUCCCCGAACGAAACGUGUGGACUUUAUAUUGAAACGCCUAAGUAAUAAAUUAAAAAAUAAGUAGACGUUUUGCAGCAGGUGGUUUAACUGUCGCGGGGUGUGAUUUAACGUAUGUACAAAGCGUUUUUGUAUUUUGUUAGAGAAAAAAAAUCGUUUCGUUUAAUCGGAUUUAAGAAACGUUCAACGUAUUAUUUUUUUUUAUACUCUUUUAAAUUUAUAGAGAAAUUUAAAUUCUUACUAUUCUAACUUCUAUACUUUUGUAAUACUUCGUGUAAUUUUUCACUAUUGGAUAAUGACCUUUAUUAUUUAAAAAUACAUAGUAUCAUAAAAAAAAAAAUUAAACGUACAUGAAAUAUGAAAUAAUGUGAUUUUUUUAUAUAAAUAUAUUUUCAUAGAAAAAUAUCAACUUAUAAUUUAUAAUUUUUUUGUUAAUAAUUUUACAAGCAAAAGAAAUAUAGAAAAUUCGAGUAUAUUGUUCUUUUUCCAUAAAGAUUAAAAUAUACGUACUUCGUGAGUGUAUUAUAAAAAAUAAGGAGAAGAAAAAUGAUCUUAGUAUAAGCUUCUUUCAUUGUUUUUUUGUUGUUUUUAAACUAAUUAAUAAAUAAAAAAAAAAAAAACGGAAAACAGAUAAACUUCACAUAAUAUAUCUGGGGAUCACUGGUAUAGUGCAGCAGUUUUCAACCAUACUAUUGUUACGUAGAAAGCUCAUAGUACGCGAAGGAAAUUUUGUUUUUUAUAAAAAAAUUAAUUCAUCGUUGAAAAUAAUAUAAAACUGAAAGAUAUCAAUGUGGAGCGCGAUGUCGUUGACGUCCUAAUCGAUUCGAAAUUAGGCGCAAAAGUUUUGAUACAAAAUAUUCCUAUCAUAUAAUCAUUAUCAUAAUAAUUCUACUUCGGACAAUUUUCAAAUUAGAUUUUCUAUUUGAUUUUACUUAUUGAGCAAUAAAUAAUUUACAUUUGCAUUAUUACCUACCUACAGUCGUAGUUUCAGAUUAACGCUAAUUAAUUAGAAGUAAUAAUUUCCAAUACAUAUAACAUAUAUUUUAAAAAAUGCGUACAUUUUUCGACAACCAAUGCGGUACGUGCAAAUUUAUGAAAUUUGUAGACAAUACUUAUUGGAUACGAAAAGGCGAGAACCAGUGGUGUAUUUAGGAUUUCACUGAGCAGAAGAUAUUGAAUUUUGUUACUGUGUCAUAUUAUAUAACGACUAUAACGUGCACCUGGUAGAUACCUAGUCUAAACAAAGAUCAAUUAUUAGUUUGUGUAAGUAAUUAAUAAAUAAAAAAAAAAUGCCAUACAAUUUUUAUUGAAAUUAAAUAACUAGUUUAGGUUCUAACUUCUAACCUCCUUCAUAUUUGCAGGAUUAUAGGUUUAGAUAUAAUUUUGAUAGGUUUCGUUGUAAAUAAGUAAAUGUUCAGGUAAGUACGUUUAGGUUUCUUUAUAUAUUAACUAUAAAAGUACCCACCUAUACGAUUUGAAAAUGUAAAAAUUAAAAAAAAAAAAUUAGGUAAGUAGUUAUAAAAGAUAUGAAAUAUAAAUAGUAGACACUACAAAAUACUCAAGUGGGUUGUAUAACUUUCUAUUCCCCCUCCUUUAAUACGCCACUGUCCAUAACGCCCGACUCGUAAUUGGAUUAGUUUAUUAAAACCGCGACAAGAACUUUGUUUUUUUUACAAAUUUUCAACAUUAUAUAAACUUACUAAUAUUAUUCGAUCGAUUUAUUAUCGUGUUUAACAAUAAUAACGCAAAACCUUCCCCUUAUACAGGUUAUUAUUAAUAAUUUAUAAUAAACUAAAAAUUAAUUAUAAAAACUAGUGUUUUAAUAACAUAGAUAGUUUAUACAGUGUUUAAACUUUUUUUUUUUUUAAAUGUCAGAUAAUAAUUAUAUAUUAUACUUGUAUAAUUUGAUCGACAGCGCGUUAAACGAUUAUUAUUAUUCACACAAUAUUAUAAUAAUGUAAAAACUUUAGUGUUUUUGAUUAUAGGUACGAGAAGUUAUUUGUCAGUUUAAUAAACUCAAAAACACGUUAUGACGACGGCCACACAGUCUUUUCCUUUUUUUUUUUAUAGAAUACGGUUAAGAAAUAUUAUAAAUGAUGCAGACAGGUAGUGUUUGUUUCAAAGCAUUUUCGUCAGACAUGUCGUAGUCGUUUCAUUUAAAUUAAAGCGUACCAUAUUGUAUAUAAUAGAUAACGUUUAACAUCCAGUUUUAGCCAUUUUGGGUGAUACGUCGUAAAGGCUUACUAUGGGCGACGGACGUACACUCUAUAUCAUUAUAAAUUGCAUGUCAACAGUGACUUUUUUCAUUUUCCUUUCAAUUCUUUUAAACCGGAAAAUAACGUAUAGAAAGGAGGAAUUUAAUCAAUACUAAAAUUAUAUCACACUAAAUUAUAAUACUGUUUUAUGUGUUGAAGUCUAACCACGAUAAUUUUCCUUAUUUGUUUUACUUCUCUAGAUUUUGAGCGUACCGAAGAUUAUGUUGAUUUUACUAUGACGUUGCGUGAUUUAUAUUUAAAUUUAUUAUGGAUGUUAACAACUUUCUUAACAAAUGCUUUGCUCCGAUCAUCAAUAUCAGGGAUAUUCGUUUCUGGUAGCAAUACUACUUGGUCUGAAUAUAGAUAGCACGUUGUUGAUUUUUUUUUAUAGUUGUAUUGAUAAUUGGAGUGGGAGGGUAAUCGUUGGGAAAACUGAAUCUUUUAGUAUUUACAUAAUAAUAAUAAUAAUAUCUGUUAUUUUCGAUUUUGUUUUAGAUUAUGAGCGUUACGAGGGACCUAUUGGUUUUACUAUGUUGUCUGGUUUUGGAAUUUUAUUUUUUAUUUUUUGUGACUGUGAACACCUUUUCUACUAGAAAAAUUGUUCCGAAGUAUAGACUAUAGCAUGGGUAGAUUAUGCUUGCAUAUAUAAAUGCAAUGAUAUCAAGAGCCAAAAUAUUUGUAAAUACAUUUUCUAAUUUAAUAUAAUUUGAUCUAAUUUGUACAUUUAUAACACAAAAGUAAUAACGAUAGGUAACAGCCUAAAAUAUAUUAUCAAAUUACGUAUUAAUAAAAUAUUAUUUUGUUUUGAUUAGAUUUCGAGUUUUCUAACGAUUUCUAAUACCUAAAUAUUAAGAACUGUGCGGUAAAUUUGAUAUCAAUUUUUGAUAUAUUCGUGUGAAUCGCUUUAUUCAACAAUGAAAAUAAUUAAGUUGAAAUAUCAAUCAAAUUUGAAUGAUGUUCAUCUUACAAAAUUACUGAGAACUGCUCUUACAUGCAACCAGAUCUUAAGUAGCUUACUAAAAAAACAGACACGAAAAAAAUACCACGCAAACAAAUUUAGCAUCAUCGUUUUCAUUGUUUUUAUUACGUUAACAUGAUGUUUUAUACCAGAAAUAUUAUUCCAAUCCAAAAAUGACAAGAAAUCUUUUUUGUUCUUUUUAAUAUUUCACUAUCGACAGAGAUAGUAAUUUUUUAUUAUUGAAGGAGUUUUUACAAUAAUUAGGAAAAACCAAAAAAGACGAAAUAUAUGAUUUUUUUUUAAAUUACAGAACAAUGAUUUCAUUGUUUUUAAUUUUUACGGUUUAUGUUUUCUAUCAUAAAUAUUUUUCCAAUAGAAACAUUUUUUUUUGUUGAAUUUUCAUUCUAGUUGGUGACCAAGAAAAUCGUUUUUCGGUUUUCUUUGUAAUUAUUUAAAAAUUGGGUAAAACUGAUAAAUAUGUAGAAAGAAAUGGAAAAUGUAUGAAAGUAAUUAUUUUAUUUAUUUUUAUAUUAUUAUUUAUUUAAAGUUUAUUUUAUUUGAAAAAAAAAUAUUUUGUUAUUUUUUUAUUUUACUCACUGGGAUAAGGAUUACAAAAAUUUAUAUUUCAAUUAAUUUUUUAUGUAUUGGUAAAAAACUUAGAAAAAUAAUUAUUGAUAUGCCUUAUCCCUAUGAAUAAUAUUUAAUAAAAAUAGAAUUUGAGUAUCUUUAUUAUUUUCGAAGAUAUUACAUUGGAUAUAUUUUCAUAGGACGCUCUGUAUAAUACAUUUUUAAAUAAAACAUUUGUCUGAACAAUUCAGAGGUUUAAUCUUAUUCGUUUAAGAUGAGGUAACUUUCGUCUGGUUUUGAGGUUUUUGAACUAAGUUGACUCUUGUCUGUUUUGGAAAUUGAAUUGCUCUUUUGGGCUUUAAAAAAAGUAAAUAAAGAAAUUCCUUUAAUAUGUAUUGUGAUACGUUUUAUGCUUUCAAAAUCAAAGGAAGAUAUAUCAGUUUUGUAAAAAAAAAGGAUGGACAUAUUUUUUGAACGUGGAUACAGCCACUGUUGUAGGUAGGAAGGAUGGGAUUUUGAGAAGGUAUGAUACAGACGGGAAUUUAAUGUAUAUCUGUAAACAACGACAAACCAUUGCUAAUGAAAAAAAUAUUCUGAACGGAGUUCAAUUGAUAGUGUUGCUUUGUCAACAAUAUAUUGUCAUACUAUGGUAAAAUGAUUACAGCAAUAUACGUUUCCACGACAACAAUGAUUGUUUAAAAAAGAUUAAAAUAAUAAAAAAUUUCACGUGAUAUUCGUCCAUUAUUUUAGAAAUAUUUGAUCCUCGUAGACCAAUUAUCCUUAAGCGUACACGAGAAUCAAUGAUAGUGAAUAUUUUCUAAGAAAAUAUGUAAUGAAAUAAGUAAUGAUUACGGUUUAUAAUUAUAAAUUCACAUUUAAGAAUUAAAUGAUCUAUACAAAUUAUAUUUUGAAAAUUGUUAAAAAAGUUUAAAGAAAUAUUCUGAAAUCAACUCACAAUAAUUUGCUUGUUAUGGAUUAUUUUGUAAUAAACCAUCUUUGAGUUAUUUUCUCGUGGCUGUAGUGAAUUUAAACAUUUUGAACUCAUCAUAUAACCACCUAUAAAAAUGGCAAACACACCAUCAGCUCUUUUUUAAAAAUGUUUGUCGUCUCAUUUUAUGUUGUAUAUACGAUCAGGUAGGUAUUCUAUUUAACCGUAAACGAGAUUAACUAUUAAUAAUUAUUGAUGACCGUUAACUAUUUUAAAUUAUCAAUGAUUGUUAUUAUUUACUCAUCAAUAUGUUUUUACAAAUUUGUUAUGGAUAAUCGUAAUUAUUAUUAUUACCUACCCCGAGUAACUAUACUAUCGUUUAUAACAGAUUUCGUAACAACACGUUUUAUUAAUUGACAUGACAGAUUAUAAUAUUAUAAUUGAAUAAUAAUUUUUGCCUUCGUAUAACAAUAACAUUGUAUAGGUAGUAAACUUAAUAUCAACAUUUUCGAAAUAAUCGAAUUAUUUGAUUUCAUUAUUUAUCGGUAAUAGAUAUCGCGUGCGCGUCGUUGGUGUAAAUACAUUUUUAUUAAAAUGUAGAAAAUCGGUUUUUCAACCGCCGUCUGUCAAAUAAUCGUACGCCGCCGUUGGUUUAUUAAAAUGAACGAGAAACAAUAUAUCACUCGAUUGUACCACCACGGUUAAAAUAAAACACGUUUUAGUACACAUUUUUAUGAAAUGGCAUACUGCGAAAUAACAAUUUUGCUGUACCUCCGUCAAAUUCGACAUAACAAGAGAAUGAAACACUGCUUGUACGUGGGCAGUGUAAGUUCUACUUAGGUUUUUUCCCCCCGUUUUACUCGUAUACAAUUGUGGUAUUUAUUUAUCAUUGUAUUAUUUUCGAGAUUGUAUGCAGCCACGAUCGACGGAGUAGACGACUAAACGGAAAUGGUAUGAGGAUUGAGGAGACGUGAAAGUGGACAAUGUAACCGUAUAUAGCUGACUUUGUACUUUCGUGCGGGAUAAAACCGAAAUGGAAGCAGUUGUGCGUAUUUUGCACACGGGAUCACGAAUCAUAAACAUUGUGGAUUUAUACAGAGCUUUUCAAUAAGAUUUGAUAAAUAUAUACAAUAGGUAUAACUUAAAAACUCGUGUCGUAUGGUAACUUAUGCCCAAUAUGGUGUCUUAUAUAUCCGUAGAAAAGGCAUUAUUAAAGUAUAUGCGGACGAAGCCACAGAUUAUUACAGUUACCUAAAAGGUAAAAAAGGUAUAAAAGGCUUAUAUGAGUAAGUUCGUCGCUCUUAACAUGAUACCAUUUUGGUUAGGGUUCUUAGUGUCACAAUACCACAAUAUUAUUAAAUAGAUAUAGUCUGGUACAGAUGUCGUGUUUGUUGGAUUAUUGUGGCUGAUUGCGGUUUAAUGCAGUGAUAAAUUGUGUUUUACGAGUUCUUAUUUUUGAAAUCAAAAGUGGCAUUAUUGUAAUUACAUAUUAUGUAUAACAUAGGUACCUUGUUCUUGUGAUGAACGAUAACAUUUUUAAUAAUAUUUUCAUUAUUUAUGCUGUUAUAAAUAUACGAUUACCCUAUUCAGUAAUUAAUUUCGUAAACUUGGUUUUUAUAGACAAACGUUUGACGGUUAAACAUUAUGUGCCGAUAAUGUUUGUUGUUUGUUUUUUAUCGUAUUUGUGAAAAUAUCAAUUGAUUUUAUCUUUUUAACGUUAGUAGAACCCAAAUUACAAUGCAAAGUACAUUUUUCCGGGGGGGGGGGGGGGAUCUGAGACAAUGCUUUCCAAAUACUUGUAAAGCACUUAGUAUGUACAUAAGAAUAUAUUACUUAUACUUAUAAUUCGAUUCAUGUAACAAAUAUUUAAAAAAUAGAAUUUUUAUUUUGUUAAUUUAGUAUAUAUAUACCAUAAUAUGAAUUAAUUGUUAAAUAAAAAAAUUUAAGCGAUACAAAAUAUUGCCUCAUACAAUUUAUUUUAAUAGGUUUUUUACGUAUUAUAUUUAAAAAUAUAUUUUCAAUCGUUCUGUUUAUAAUUUCGAUAAUAACUUAAAAUUUUAUGUUGCUAUGACCCAUCACCCGGGAUCGAUCAAAUAAUGAAAUAAUUAUUAAUUGUACUAAAUAGAAAUUUUUUAUUAAGUAUUUAUUACUGUUUUCCUUUUUUAGAGCAAUUUUUAUCAUUUAAAUUCACACCCUAAUCAUAUUUACUAUAUUUACAGUUGAUAUUUACGGCUGAUGAUAUCAACUAAUCCGAGAUACGAUUGUUGCCUGAACGUUUUUAACUAUCAGAAAUGUGUACGGUGUGUGACUUAUUUUGUAUAUAAUUGUAAAUUAUUAUCCUUUGACAAAACGACAUUACGUGCGGUCUGCAAAUAGAUCCGUACGGAACGGAUCUAAACGCGUGCGGGUCAUGAAUAACAGUACCACACUGCGGCGAUGGUGGUGACGGUAAAAUAAUUUGUCGCUUCAUUUUACAGCAGUUAGUACGAGUCGUAUACAUAAGUUCUCAUGGUCGAUUUUAGUCAGCUAAACGACAAAAACAAAAACCACUCAACGCAUCAUUAUAGAGGUAAAUUUCUGUAUUAUAUGGCGACUUGAAUUCGAUAAAAAAAAUAUUAUAGAUAGACAGUGUAGGUAGACUCAAGUGGAUAAAACUGCAAAAUCCCCAACAUUAUAUUAUAUUAUGUUGGAGAUCUUUAUUGUGAAUAUUUUUUCUGUUUUUGUAUCGUUGUCUAUAGCCUUUUGUAUUAUAUUAUAAAAAAAAAAAAAGUCAUCCAGUAACAUAAAAUACCUAAAAUAACAUAAUUCUAUAAUAUAUGUUAUAAAAAUCAUAAAACUCGUUAGACGUAUUAACUACUAUUAUCUAUAUCUACUCUUAUACUAUAUUUAAUGGAAUUUUUAAAUUGAAUUUCAGCAAGUCUACUCGCAACUUUCUGUAUUUGAAAAAAAUACAUUUCAUGUUUCGUUCAAUUUGUAUUAUAUUUAUAAUCAUAAAUUAUUAAUAUAUUAUUCUAUUGUAUAUUGUCCUGGUUUCCUGCUAAGACCUAACUAGACAAACUGUAACUACAAAAAUUGUAUUGUUUGGGCAAAUUAGUUUUUCGUUUUCUUUGUUUAUGUCACCUUGAAAUCAUUAAUUCUCACCAUUUUUGAAUUUAUUAUUUAUCAUACGUCCAUUACGCAUUCAAAAUAUCGUAGAAUAUUUUAUGUUGUACUUAAUCAAUUAUUUUUAUCUUUUCUUCUUUAUUUUUAAGGGGGCGCUUUAUUCGAAUUUAUUGUUUCAGUCUAAUCAAAGGGCAGCAUAACAAUACAGCAAAAUUACAUUACUUAGAAAAUAAGCUGUAGUGUUCAGGUAAAACAUAGAGUUUAAUUACUUAUAGCACAAUUUAAAGGUAAUAAUAUUUAAAAAAAAAAAAAAAAAUUGAUCACGAGAUCAUAGUUUUUAAAGGCUCGUCCAUUAAGUCUUUCAAGUUAUUUUUUAAACAGGCUGCGCUCUCUAAUAGAUUCUAUUCUAUAAGACAUUUGUCUUCUAAAUAUUGUCAUUAGACGAACAUUUUUUGUCACGUUUCAAAUCAUUUUAAAAAUCGUCCGUAACAGUUGGCUAUAUUGUUAAUAACAUGAAACGUUCUUAAAUCGUUUGCAUAAUUUGCAUAGAACCAUUUGCUCAGCGUUUUCUAGGUUUGUUUUUGUGGAUGCACACGAAUUGCCUCCUAUCUGACCCUCGAAUUGUCACCCGUGAAUUUUUUUUUAAAAGGUUACUCGAAUUGCCUCCCGAUUUCUAAAAUAUCAUUCAUUCGAAUUGUCUUCUAUUUUAGGUAGUAACCUUCUUAUAUCGAAAUUGAUUUCUAUUUUGAUUUUUUUGAAAACUAAAAAAUAUUUUACAUAGCUAAGUAUUAGGUACACGACAUUAGUACACAUAUGAUUAGUAGACAUUAGUACAAAAGAGCAAAUUUGAUACGUAUUGUAUCAAAAUUACAUCAAAUUUAUCAAUUAAGUUAUUAAUAAAAUUAAUUUUACUUUUAGUAGUUGUCCUAACUUUUUGGUUUCCACUGUUGAAGAUCUAAUAAAAAUUACCGUACCUAACUGCAUUGAUUUUAGUAUUUAAAAAUUUAUAAAUAUGAGGGUGAGAGGAUGAAAAAUUAGAAUUUAAAUUUUUGUGGAAUGAUUCACAAGCGUUAGUAGACUUUUGUAUACUUGAUGUUAUUGCACCUCACAUUCUUGGUGAGAAAGUUGAAUCUUCAUCUAUAUAAUUUUCAAACAAAUAAUAGGAAAAUUGAGUUAUUUUGACAUUAUCAGGUUUUAAUUCACCAAAAUCCAUGGUGAAAUUGCCAAAAGUUCCAUCCACAUGUAUUUAGCGUACUUAGAAACUUAAUAUUAUCGUCGCAUGAAAACAUUAACUAAUCAUUUAAUCGGCCAUUUACUAUUAAAAAGUUCUCAUCUAUAAACAUUUUAACCUUAAUGGACGAUAAAACUUUAUAAACUUCAUUCACAUUUUGUGGCAAUUUUGGAUAUAUAGAAUUCCUAAUAUUGUUCAUGUUAUUUUUAAUGUUAAUUUACUUCUGAAGUUGUUAAUGUACUACUUACAUUACUAUUUUUUAUCUCGUCGUGAAAUAAUUUUGCGAAAUUAUGUUGAACUAGUGAUAUUGAAUACGAUAGUCAACUAAGCUACUGAUAUCAGAUAUCGAUAAGAUUAUUGCAAUUGACAAAUAAUUAAACUGUCUGGGAAAUACUAUAUGUAUAUAUUACUAUAAAUAAUAAAAAUAAUAUUUUUGAACAUUACGGAAAUCAAUAUAAUAAUCGAUAGUACACGUCAAUUAUCGAUAUAUUAAUUAAUAAUCUAGGUAUGCAAUGGGAGGCGAUUCGAGUGGACGGUUUGGGUAUACUCAAAUCGCCUCCGAAAACACCCGGAGGCAAUACGAGUGAAAAAAGGUCAUCUACCUGAAUUUUGGAGGCAAAUCGAGAACUCCCGUUUUUGUUGGUGCAAUAGGUUGGUUCGCUUUUGAUGACUUUUUAUUUUCUUCGUUUAUUACAUGGAUCGACAGUUUGGAUGGCGAUCCAUUACCUGAUUACCUUAUUAUCUGAUGCAGUAUUAUCUGUAUCAUCAAUUUUUUGUAAUUUAAAUUUUUAAAACAAGGCACUGUUUCUAAGGUUAUCGUCCUUGUUUCCAUUUAAAUGUGACGAUUUUGUGGUCCUACUAACAUAAUUCUGAGAUAUUUCUGAUUGAUUAUUUUUAAAUACGUUUAAAGCCAUUGUUUCUGCAAUUGUGCUUAAAAAAAGUUUAGCACUGGAUGCUUUACCGGAUUCUCUAUGACGCAGUUUGUUAUUGACAUUAUUUCUAGUAACUUUUGCGGUAUUAUUAACUUACUUUUUGGAAAAUAUUGGAUACUCAGUAUUUUGGAAUUUGACUUGUACUACAGUUUUUGAAUAUAUUUUCGAGUUUUCGUUAUUUUAAUUUUUUUAACGAAAAAAAAUUUUCGAUUUUUCAUUUGGUACCUAAUCUAUGCAAUCGAAUGCAUACCUGCCGCACCCGGACGCAAUCGAAAACCGGUAAAAACAGUAAAGUCAAAACGGGACGCAAUCUGACGAUGCCAGCUGUAUCAUCUUUGAACUUAAGCAUACUUAUUGAUUUAUUCCCUAUAAUAAACACGGUGAUUUAUCUGUUUAUAGUAUUGAACGACCACCCCCUCCGGUUUGAUACGACAUUUUUUUAAUAGAUUUUUAAGUUAUCACUAUAGUACAGAUUUUCACCGCGAUAAAAAAAAAAAAAACCCGAAGUUACAUAAUAACAUCGAAUAAUCAAAUUCAAUAUAAUAUUAUGUAGGUGUAAUAUGCGACAAGGGGUUUUUUGAAAAUUCGGCGUUUACUAUAAUACUAUACGCGAACUCGUCUACUUGUCACGACGAGCAUAUUGAUCACACCCGUAUUAUAUUCUCUCGACAACGGUUAUUAUUAUAAUAUCAUACUUGGACGAAAUCUAAAUAACAAUAAUAAUAAUAAUAAUAAUAGGUAAUCAUUUUUCCUUUUACGCACGUGUUCAUGACACGCACAAUAAUUUAUUAUAAUCGAUUGUUUUAAAUUAUUAUCACACACGUCUUUGAUGUGUACGGUACAGAUUAUAACAAUAAUAUUGUUAUCACGGAAUGUCAAGCCGGUAGCGCGUGCGGUUGUAACGGUUUAACGCGGGCCGUCAUUUUUGGCGCGGAUCCGUCGAGACCUUUCGGCCGUCAUCACGUCCUCCGUCACACGCUGCAUUAUACGACGAUGACGGUUUUCCAGAUGUAUUAUAUGUAUAUGAAUACGUCGGGGGACGCGCGUUUAUUAUUUAUUAUUAAAAAAAGACGACCGGUCCCUGUCUAUAUAUAUACGUAUAUUCUUAUAUUCUAUACAUUCUAUAAUAUAUUCCGAAAAUCAUACUACGCUGACGGCGGCGAAUAAAACCGCGCGUAUCAUAAACUAAAACCAACGCGUGUACCAUCGACAACGCCCCGAAAAACUGUAAUAAUAAUAACAAUACGACUCGGGAUGUUUUCUCGGCGAAGGUUUCGGAAAAAAUCAGCUCGUAUUGUACCGAAACGAUAGUUUCGGUAUCGACGGAAAAUGUACAUAUAAAUAUUAAUAAUUUUAUUACAAUAUUGUAUACACAUAUAUAGGGGGUUGCCGCGAUGGAGACAGCCGACGAAAGUCAAAAGUUCAAACGCGAGUUUCCAUGAUAUUAUGUAUAAUACUAAUAAAAGCAAAAAGACUCGAAAGCGCAAUACGACGGGACCGAAAGUCGUGUGUUUUUGUUUUGUAUUUGUAUGCACACAGGGCGAUUUUUUCUAUCGCUGUACAUUCAUUACUUUGAAAACUAUUGAUUUUUUCCGAAAAGAAAUCAUUUUGAAAUUUAAUAAUCAAACAGCUUGACAAAUGUUACGAUACCAUUGUUUUUUGAUUUAACUACAUUUUCGGGGGUGAAUCGACAACUUACUUUUGAUUUUUCAAUGGUCACUUAUAUACUAAAAAAAUUCAUAAAUAGACGGAUUAUUAUUUGUAAUUUUUUCGUUGAAAUAUUUGAUUUUUGUCAAUCCGUUUACGAAAUAUGUACCACUUUUAAGUUUGGGCAAGGAGAGAGUAGUGGAGCAUUAUACAUAACGGUAAUAUACAAUUUUAAAGCCACCUGUUUCUUAAAUUGUCAAGAAUUUUUUUUAAAAUUUAACACUUCGAAAUAAUAAUGAGUGUUGAAAGAUAAAAAAAAUCACUCUGUAUACAUAAUUUUACGGUGUAGAAUUUUCGAAAUUCAAUAUCGCGUAUAUUUUCUUUCCAAAUAAUACAUCAUUAACUCCGAACCAUACGAACGCCGUCGUUCGUAGUCUCGCGUUUGCCUGUCGAGUUUUAUAAUAUUUUUGCUUUCUCGACACCAAAAACGAAUACAUAAUACGACUCGUCAAUAAUAUCUGCACUAUAAUAGUAGUAUAAUAAUACUACUGCCAAUUCCGCAAUAAAACUCGUAUAUUAUUAUGGGUACUAAAUAUUUUGUAUUCGAAUAGCGAUUGGGCCAGGGGUGACGUUACAAAAGUAUAUUAUUAACUAUAGUAUAGGUUUUUCCAAAAUAAAUUUACAAAACGUAUUUUAAACGUACAUAAAUUUUAUCGUCCAACACAUUCUAAAAUUUCAAUUUUUUUUUUUCAUGCAUACAAAUAAUGCCAAUAAAUACCAGCAUAAAGAAAAAAAAAUUUUAAUUUUGAAUGGGAAAAUGUUAAUGAAAUAAACGUGUAUUUUAUAACACUCCCAAGUAGCAGAACUUCGUCAUUAUAUACAGUGGUAUCCUCUUAUUUUCUUUUAUUGACAUAUUUUUUGUGCUAUACUUCCGCGAGAAAAAGACGAAAUUUGCAAUGCCGGCAGUUAAAAGUUGAAACUUCGUAGAAGGAUGCAAUUACAAAAUUUCAUCGGUUUGUUAAAUUCGAGAGAGGCUCUAUAUAUGGGUGAAUAAAGCUAGAUAAAUUUCCUCGUCUCGAUAAAAACUGCGGUGAUAUUUACGAGUGAAAUUAUUGCUUCGGUCGGGUUUUUAAAACAUCUGUAAUUUCUGAGUUCGGGAUCAUUUAAUUCGGAGGAACAAGUUAAAAGCGGGGAAAAGAUAAAUAUAUGUAUAACGGACGCAAUACGCAAAAAGUAUGUAGUCCAAUUAUUAUUUCCGGGGAAAAUUCCGCUGAAUAAAUAAAAAACAUUUUUGAAACACUCUCUCGAUAUAAGUAUAUAAUAUUAUCGCGAAUUAAUAUAAUUCGCAUAAAACAUCGCGUACGGUAUGAAAACAAAUAAUUUCCCGCAAUAAAAUACAUUUCUCGCGUACCAUAAGGAAAAAAAAAAAAAAAUCAAAAUUGUUUAUUUUCAUACUCGUUCGGAAAUGCUUUUGUAAUAUAUAUAUUUGGCCGGCCAGUAUAGGUAGUGACGGUGUUCCCAGCGGGCAGAUAAUACUAUGCUCGCGAGCUUAUCCUCUUUUUAAACCCUUAGACGAAAAAUAUUAUUUUAUUAUACCCGUUCGAUUUAUAUACAUUCGUAUAAAAAUGAAAUAAAAAAUAUAUAUUUUUUAUUUUACGACGAUGAUCCGUCGCGUAUUUGUAUACAUUUUUUUUUUGUUACGAGUUUAUUUUUGUACAGGUUUUUCAAACGUCUCUUGGGCGCUGGUAUGCAUAAACGGAAAGAGCAGUAAAGUACCUAUACACACAAAAUAUUUCCCGAAGAAACAAAAAUACCAAACUCAAAUUGCAUAAUAUAUGAACUGCAGUGACACUCGCAAUAGCUAUAGCAGUCGACAACAUAAGGUAGGUAGUAAACUUUUACUCGGUUAUGAUUUUGUUUUUUCGAUAUACGUUUCUUUUGUUAUCCU